RNAcentral lists this unclassified non-coding RNA (363 nucleotides) under uncultured bacterium. RNAcentral describes it as "contains 16S-23S intergenic spacer region". The record is from RNAcentral.
UCCGGGUUGGACCCGGCGGUCCCGCCAGACAGGGUAACUGGCAGCGGGGGUUGCGCUCGUUGCGGGACUUAACCCAACACCUCACGGCACGAGCUGACGACAGCCAUGCAGCAUCUGCGCACGCUCCCUUGCGGGUCCUUCCCCUUUCGAGGUCGUACCACGUGCAUGUCAAGCCCAGGUAAGGUUCCUCGCGUAUCAUCGAAUUAAACCACAGGCUCCACCGCUUGUGCGGACCCCCGCCAAUUCCUUUGAGUUUCAACCUUGCGGUCGUACUCCCCAGGCGGAUGACUUAACGCGUUAGCUGCGCCACCGAAACGCUAAGCGCCCCGACAGCUAGUCAUCAUCGUUUACGGCGUGGACUAC